This 73-nucleotide transfer RNA is filed under the name Planctomycetota bacterium. RNAcentral's name for it is "Planctomycetes bacterium (mine drainage metagenome) tRNA-Ile". It matches the Rfam family "tRNA". From Rfam's summary of the family: Transfer RNA (tRNA) molecules are approximately 80 nucleotides in length. Their secondary structure includes four short double-helical elements and three loops (D, anti-codon, and T loops). Lineage: Bacteria; Pseudomonadati; Planctomycetota. The record is from RNAcentral.
GGCCCCGUAGCUCAGCGGUUAGAGCAGGCGACUCAUAAUUGCUUGGUCCUCGGUUCGAAUCCGGGCGGGGCUA